UCUCUCUGUAGACGCCGAGCUCCGAGGUCGCCAACUCGCCAUUAUUACGCCUCCGAGCUCCCCAAGCACCAGCUUUUCUUCGAUCUCCGCGUCGAAACCCUUGCGUUUGUUGGAUCAAAACCGUAAGGUCUCUCGUCCACAAGGAUUCUCAUCUUUUUGAACCUGUUUUGUUGAAAUCUAGGGUUUCGUUUCGUACCAAGUCGUCGAAUCCGUGGGUUUCUUGGGGUUUUUCUUGCAUGAUAUCUAAUCCAGCCUUUAGGAAGAGGGGAAGCCAUGGAUAAUUCUAUGAUGAGUAGUGGCCUUCUCCCUGGAUCAUCCGCCGGAAUUCUGGACCACGACCCCUCCGUCCACCACCGCCGCCAACAACACCACCCCCUUCCCCACCUUCAACCAAUGCCCGCCGCCGGCAUCGAUCCCGGCCAUGCGAUGCCCCUCUUCGACCCUGCCCCCUCCCUCAACCCCCCGCCUCGCGGGAAGGGCAUCUACGCCUCCGCCACCACCAGCGAGAAUGACGACCAACUUCCCGCCGCCGCCGUCGAGGGGGAUGGCCACGGGCAGCAGUCACCGGUCCCUGGCGGAGCCGGGCUGGGCAAAAAGGGCUCGCCUUGGCAGCGUAUGAAGUGGACCGACGAGGUGGUCCGGCUGUUGAUCCGGAUCGUCGCCCUCGUCGGGGAUGACGGCGCUUAUGAGGCUGUAGACGGGACUCCAGGUGCUGUGAAGAGGAAGCACGGGGCCGCAUUCCAGAAGAAAGGAAAAUGGAAGAUGGUAUCGCUCCUGAUGCAAGAGAAUGGCGCCUAUGUUUCGCCGCAGCAGUGCGAGGACAAGUUCAACGACAUGAACAAAAGAUAUAAGAGGUUGAACGAUCUUCUUGGUCCUGGAGUCUCCUGCGAUGUCGUCCAUGAUCCUGCAAGCUUGGAGUCGAUGCCCAUUUCCCAAAAAGCAAAGAAUGAUGUGAGAAAGAUCCUGAGCUCAAAACAUCUUUUUUACAAGGAGAUGUGUGCGUACCACAGUGGCCAGAAAAUACCCAAUUGUCCUGAUAUCAAUUUGCAAAGCUGUUUGCUAUCACAGGUCGCACCAUCAAAAGAUGGCAAUCAGUGUUUUGAUGGGGAGGAAGAGGAGGAGGAAGAGGAGGAGGAGGAGGAGGACAAUGUUGGGAAUGAAGAAGAGGGGAGCGAAGAGGUCGGAAGGGGGCGCUUUGAGGAUUUCCUUGCUGAGAUAGAUGCGGUCCUUCAGGACCCGACAAGGCCACCAUUGGAGCGGCGAAAGUGGUUAAAGAUGCGGGCAUUGCAGCUCGAGGAGGAGAGAUUGGACAUCGAGACCGAAGCUCUGGCAAUAGAGAGGCAGAGGUUCAAGUGGCAGAGGUUCAGCAGCAAGAAGGAUAGGGAGAUUGAGAGAUCAAGGUUGGACAAUGAAAGACUCAUGCUUGAGAAUGAACAGAUGAUGAUUCUGGUGAGGAAGGAGGAGUUGGAGCUGGAUUUCAGGAGGUCAGGAGACCCAUUAAUGGAGUCUACUGGUUUUCGGAUGGAGGAAGAGCGAGGACGAGAGCAGAUGGAGUCUGGAAGGGUCCACUAAGAUUUUGUCUGUGUGACUAACCAUUGGUGUUUCUCAAGCAUUUGUUUUCACCUUUGUUGUUCAGGUUUCUUCUGUACAGCUGGGGAGUAAUGGUGGCAUACACUUAUUGUUAGAAGAAUCCUACUCUACACCAAUUUGUAAAGUUGCAAGUGAAGAAAUUGUUCAGAACCAAGUGUUUAAUGUGUGUCCAGUUUGCUGAUCCAUUUUCGACAAGGAAUUUUCGAGCUGGAUAUGAGUCUAAAUUACACAGGCUGAGAUAUUGCUUUGGCUCACAUUAUGCAGAAUGACUGUAUUGUUUUUAUGUAGCCUUGGAACAAUUAUUUUUUCAUAUACUUUUCAAUAUUUAAAGAAUGUUUGAAAAUGCUAACUUGCUAUUAUAUGGAUGAGGGAAUAUAUCUUUAUCUACCUGACU
RNA transcript from Elaeis guineensis (African oil palm), 1984 nucleotides. RefSeq lists it as uncharacterized. NCBI's taxonomy places the organism in Eukaryota, Viridiplantae, Streptophyta, Magnoliopsida, Arecales, Arecaceae. The record is from RefSeq and is a predicted model, not a curated record.